GUAAAAGAAGUAGCUCUACCUAUAUACUUAGGAAAAUGCUAACCACCUGGAUGAUGAAAUUUCUAAUGUCAUUCCAAUGACUUACUAAGAAAUAGUACAACCCAUGAGCAGGAAGUGUCCGCUCUUAAAGGGCCUUGGAAGUGCAACAAGCAGACCAUUUCUUCUAUCAACAGAAGCACAAGAAAACUCCUGCCACUCAGAUAGACCAGCUGACCACAACUCAGCACCAAGGAACUUCUGUCCGGCAAUAUUUACUAUGACACAUGACCACCCUGCCGCCCUGCUGAGGAGAGGUUGUGCAAAUUCUCAGCCCUAGGCCCCAGCGUUGGAAGAGGGAGCCACAGUCUCACCGAUUCUUGCUUUGCCUUGUGUACUCUCAAGUGUGAAUCAUUGCUUUCAGGGCCUGGGUGGAGCUGAGCUGUUCCUACUCUCGAUUGCCAAGGAGCGCUGCUGCUAAUGAUCCAGAACCUCAGCUGGCAUUGUCCUUGGAGGAGGCCAAGAACACUGAGUCCUGAGUUCUUCUGAGGGUAACAACAGUGGAAGUCCAUCAGCUCAGCUCCUCAGUACUGACAGGAAAGACUCAGGAUGUAGAUUGGACCAGACUUUGGGCAGAACAAAGGGCAUCCUGAAUGUGACUUUGACAUGGACUCUCAGGAAGGAGGUAUCAGGAUUCCCUCUCUUGUUCCUCUAAAUCUGUGCCAUCCAACAUAUCUAAUCUCUAGAAACAUCUGGCUAUUUAAGUUAUUUAAAAUUAAAUAAAAUUUAAAAUUCACUUCCUCGGAUGUACUAACACAUCUCCAGACCCCAAGAACCACACCUGGCUAAGGGCUCCCAUCCUGAGUAAAGUAAUCACAGGACCCUGGAGUGCUGUGAAAUGCUGCUCUGGAUAUUACUGAUUAAAGUCUAAAUAAUUCAGGGCCUCUGGGACAAAGACCUGUCUCUAGAAAGCUGGUCUUCAUCAAAAUUGACACGUUGUUUUAACUCUAUAGCUGAAGAAGAAUCUCCUGUACACACUUCUUCCUUCCUUUUGAUCAACAUUCAGUCCAUCUUUCAUUGCUCAGUUAAAUUCUACCUGCUCAAUUUCCUCUAGUUUAGGUACUCAACUUCUAUAUCAUUAUAGUUACUUCACAUUCCUUCAAAUAAUUCUUUGUAAAUAUAUAAUUUCACAUCUAUAUUUUAAAUUUGCUAGUAAAAAUAAAAGCAAGAUCUUCAGAGAGCUGAACCUAUGUAUUUCAGGGGAAUGGGAAAUCUCUAUUAUUUGUUUUAAAACACAAGGAUUCAACUAGAUCAAAAUCAAGAGUGUGAGAACCAGCUGCAGAGGAGGAUGUAAAGGGCUCCUUAUCUCAUUACCUCAAACAUCCUCUGCCCCAGCAGUGAUUUCCAGUAGAGCCAAAGAUGUGGCUGCCUGUCACAGGGUCAUAAAAUUGGCACUGCCUUUUGGUUAAAGGACUGAAGAUAUAAUUACAUUAGCAAAUAAAAUUGUGAAGUCUUAUUAUGCUCUA
This is a non-coding RNA of Heterocephalus glaber (naked mole-rat), 1502 nucleotides long. Lineage: Eukaryota; Metazoa; Chordata; Mammalia; Rodentia; Bathyergidae. The record is from RefSeq and is a predicted model, not a curated record.